UUUGGCAAAUGACGAAGACAAAUUUUUAUGCUACACUGAAUUUCCAGUGUAGACAACAACUCCGCUUAUUAUCUGAUGCCAUA
Lotus japonicus is the source of this 83-nucleotide small nucleolar RNA. RefSeq annotates it as small nucleolar RNA R16. The record is from RefSeq and is a predicted model, not a curated record. Lineage: Eukaryota; Viridiplantae; Streptophyta; Magnoliopsida; Fabales; Fabaceae. The transcript has a single exon.